GACGAACGCUGGCGGCGGGCUUAACACAUGCAAGUCGAACGGAAAGGCCCUGCUUUUGUGGGGUGCUCGAGUGGCGAACGGGUGAGUAACACGUGAGUAACCUGCCCUUGACUUUGGGAUAACUUCAGGAAACUGGGGCUAAUACCGGAUAGGAGCUCCUGCUGCAUGGUGGGGGUUGGAAAGUUUCGGCGGUGGGGGAUGGACUCGCGGCUUAUUAGCUGGUUGGUGGGGUAGUGGCUUACCAAGGCUUUGACGGGUAGCCGGCAUGAGAGGGUGACCGGCCACAUUGGGACUGAGAUACGGCCCAGACUCCUACGGGAGGCAGCAGUGGGGAAUAUUGCACAAUGGGCGGAAGCCUGAUGCAGCAACGCCGCGUGCGGGAUGACGGCCUUCGGGUUGUAAACCGCUUUCGCCUGUGACGAAGCGUGAGUGACGGUAAUGGGUAAAGAAGCACCGGCUAACUACGUG
Molecule: ribosomal RNA, 468 nt
Filed under: uncultured bacterium
Lineage: Bacteria
Description: partial 16S ribosomal RNA
Rfam family: Bacterial small subunit ribosomal RNA
Source: RNAcentral